This is a long non-coding RNA of Zonotrichia leucophrys gambelii, 491 nucleotides long. RefSeq lists it as uncharacterized. The record is from RefSeq and is a predicted model, not a curated record. The transcript has 3 exons. Lineage: Eukaryota; Metazoa; Chordata; Aves; Passeriformes; Passerellidae.
CAGGGGCAACCAUAAAAGUGAGGGUGGCCAACAGGUUGGGUUAGGGGGUUGCAACAGGGAAGUUGCUAUAGUAUGUGCUAUGUGUUUUUUAGACCAAACAAAAUCUGAGGAGCCCCAGCCAGAUGUGACCCUACCCAAAUGGGAAACAAUUUUGGGGCUUGGGAGAGUCACAGCUCCUGUCCUCAUAAGUAAAGUCAAGCAGGAACAGAUGCUGACAGAAGAUCUGAAGUUCUGAGGUAAUUUAAGUGAAGAGGAUCAAGUGAAAUAUCUUGAAAAUGGUGGUGGUAAAGCACCUGAGCUCCAAGGAGAGAAAUAUGUUAAAGCAAUGGAAGGGGACAAUAGACUUGAAAAAAGCUGCCCUCACCAGGUUGCCUAUUGGGACUUUAGCAGGUUAUCUGGCUGCUAAAUCAAAGAAGGUAAUGAGUGUUGGCUGAUUUGGUCCCCACUUGUGUGUUCCUUCUCAGUCCCAAGUCUGUAUUUCCCUGUUGUGC